Rosa chinensis is the source of this 1784-nucleotide long non-coding RNA. RefSeq lists it as uncharacterized. Lineage: Eukaryota; Viridiplantae; Streptophyta; Magnoliopsida; Rosales; Rosaceae. The record is from RefSeq and is a predicted model, not a curated record. The transcript has 14 exons.
CUCUCGAUCUCUUCUAGAGCCCUCUACUGUCCUCACACCCGAGUCAAAAUCCACCUCAAAACCCAAAAAUCACCGCAAAAGAGAGCAACAGAGAGUUGUGAGCAGCAAGAACAGGACCAUAGCUUCAAAGCCAGAGCGGACCCAGAAGCUUCAAAACCAGAGCCGACCCAGACGAGCACAAAGCCACCAUCAUUGCUGCACAGUAGUGAAGAUUGACCUGGGAUUGACGACGAAGAGACUCUUUGGUUGAUCAUGAACUUGACUUGGUUUGUUUAAAUCUCGGACUCCUCCUCCUCCUCUGCAAAUCAGCUCAGAGAAAGAGGCGAGAUGAAAGAAAGGGAGAAAGAGAACCCGGGAAGAAGGAAGAGAAGGAGAAGAGACAAACCGGAAGCUCUUGACUAAAACAACACAAGUGGAAGUUUCGCAGCAGAAGAUAGUUUCUCUGUACGAGAGGUUCUGUCAGCUCGAUCACAGUGGCGGAGGUUUCAUCUUCGCCGACGAGUUUUUGUCUGUACCGGAAUUCGCAGUCAAUCCUCUCUCUCAGUUUUGGCUGGGUGGACAUAGAUACUGGGGGAGAGAUGGAGCAAGACCAUACUUGCUCUCAGGAGAUGCUUCUGUAUCAACACCCAAUUUCCUUUUCUCAUCAGAGACAUUUGAUCAAACAACAAAGCUACUUAGUUUUGGGGUGACUUGCUCUUAGGAGAUGCUUCUGUAUCAACACCCAAUUUCCUUUUCUCAUCAGAGACAUUUGAUCAAACAACAAAGCUACUUAGUUUUGGGGUGAAUUCAGAAAGAUAUUCAAGGGAGGAUUGGCAAAGAACAAGCGGUUCUUUGCUUUGCUCAGCUCACUGGCAUUGAUGCAGAGAGGGAAACUCUAUGUUGGAUAUUAUGUGGCUGUGAAGGGGUUCUCUGCUUUGCUUAUCAGCAUUGAGACGAAGGAGCUGGUGAUAGUUUUUCUUGGAGAAAUUGAGCUCAUUUGAGCAAAUAAGAAUAUCCCAUUGAGCUGGCACCCAUUUGAUCAAAUUGGGGGAUUUGAUUGAGCAAUCAGAGAUCUUUGAAGGAUUGAGCUCCGGUGUGAUUGUGGAAUCCCUGAAGGUGGUUAGCUUGCAAGGAUUUGCCUCAAUUUUGGAGCCUAACCUCUGCAGAAUUGUAUCAUUUAAUUGUGAAAGAAAGCUUUGGAGGAGAACAUAAUUGUGUAUCUGGAAACUGGUUGUGGAAAGACCUAAAUAGCCGUGUUGCUUAUGUAUGAACCAGUUGAUACUCAAACCUCAGAAGAACAUGUGUGCUAAAUCCUGAAGAUCUUUGUGGUAUAUAUGGAUCAAAUUGCUCCCAAUGGAUUAUUGCAAUGGAGUAUUAGAAAGAAUGUGGCUAUCAUGAAGCCUCAUGAAGCAGCCAAAUUAGUUGCGAAUGAGAUUUUUCAUGUAAAAGGACACUCCCCUGAACUGAAAGACAUGGUAGGAAAUGUCAUGGAAUUUUCUGGCUUCAGCCAUCCGAGACAAGUUCGUCUUAGCAGGAGUACAACAUUUCUUUGAUUCUGUUGGAAAGUCAAUCUCCAAUGAGAGCUUCAAGAGCCGUAGACAGCGACAGAGAGAGCUAAGGAAACGACCUCGCAGCUUUCAAGUUUUGAGCUGCUUAACCAAAACAGAGCUUGCAGCGAUGGAGACAGAAACGGCGGCGAUUCUAAGCGACCUAGGGAGGAAUCAGUGAAUGAAUGUUGCAAGAAAUGAGUUAGUUCAAGCUAUUGCAAAUAAACUUUCAAUUGGCCUUCGACUAUGGACUCUUUG